UGCUUUGUCCAAAGUUAGUGGACAAAUUAUCGUAAGUGGCCUGCAAAGGAUUGUUAAUUUUAAUUAUUUCUUUUUUGUUUCUUGUGUCAUGGUUCAUUGAUUUUAGAUAGCUUAUGAAUACUGAAAUAUCAUAUAGGAGCAAUAAUUUGAUUACAAUAUUUAUCUAUAUCUAAUAAGAGAGGCAAAAACCUUAUGUGUCAAUAUUAAAAAAAUUGUAUUUAAAAAAAAUAAAAAUUUAUCUAUAAAUAUUUAAAAAAAGAUAAUUAAAAAUAAAAAAUCUAUCUAUAUUUGCAUAUUAACUACCUCUGUAUAAACUGCAUAUUAACUAGCCCUAAAGCAAAUAGAUAUUUUUGAGCCUCUUUUAUAGAGACUGAAACACAUUGUUGGGUUCCAUUUUAUAGCAAACAAAAAAAAAAACAGAAAAAUAUAGGCCAAAUACAACAUCACAAUCAAAGGAAUCAGUGUUGUUGAAUACAUUAGCAAUUUGUCAUAGAUGGAUAAAUAUCUAACAACUGAAGCAACACUCUUUUAAAUGUAAUCGCAAAAACAAAAUACUUGCAGCAACAACGGAAUCAAAAUGCUUUUCAGAGACCAAUACUGUCAUCGUCAUCUUCUUCGUUGCGGUGUUGAAAAAGUAUUAUUUGGGCAGAUUCAAAAGACGGUUAUGUUAUGAACCUAAUUUCAAACCACUCACUUCUCGCAUUGUUGAUCUUACUCACAGAAGGCAACUCCACCAGAUUUUCAUUAAGAAAAGCAUAUCUGAAAGACGAUGGUCAAUCACUUCCAGAUGAGAAGGGUUGAGCUUUGCAGUUAGUGAGGAUUCUACUUGCUCCUUUGUCACCCCCAUGAUCGAAACUACUCUUGCACUUGCACCGCUUUGCUUUUCUUUUAUUCUGAGUUUUGCCCUUCUUUUGAGCGAAAAUUCAUACCCACAAGUAAAGCCAUAAUUUGUAAAUUUCAAAAAUUUGCACUUGAAGAUGAUUGGUAAAUUUCAUUUAUAAAUAUAAACGUUAGCUCUUCA
Long non-coding RNA from Capsicum annuum, 1021 nucleotides. RefSeq lists it as uncharacterized. The transcript is spliced from 2 exons. Lineage: Eukaryota; Viridiplantae; Streptophyta; Magnoliopsida; Solanales; Solanaceae. The record is from RefSeq and is a predicted model, not a curated record.